This 1525-nucleotide long non-coding RNA is filed under the name Bos indicus x Bos taurus (hybrid cattle). RNAcentral's name for it is "lncRNA (ENSBIXG00005011516.1)". The record is from RNAcentral. Lineage: Eukaryota; Metazoa; Chordata; Mammalia; Artiodactyla; Bovidae.
AUGGUUGGCGCAUACUCUGGUGUGAAGGUGGGACUCCGCGAAGACGUCGCACAGUACCUGGAAUUGUGUAUUGUGCACAACCUUGUGCUGAGACAACGGAAAACCGCCAUCUUAUUGCUCACUCAAUGCCUCCAUAACACCAAUUUUUCACUCCCGGGCUUUGCAGCAGCCCGGUGUACUUUCCAUAAUACGCCUAUUACACAGGCAUCCUCACUAGCCAUCGCUUACACAAUUACCCGUGUGAUUUUCUCCAUCCCGGCGUGGUUGCCAUCGUCUUCGGUCCCCACCCAGUAUAACUUCGGGCGCCUGCAUCACGGGUGCCCUAAAAAAAUAGGAGACGCGUUCCCCUCCUCCCAGGUUUCUGGUUUCUCCACCCAGUCUCCCCACCGUCCUCCACUCCUCGCACCCCAGCCCUUCCGGCCUCCACCCAGACCGGGGAGAAGCGGGCCUGACAUUCCAGGUAGUUACAGAAAACUUAUUAUCCUGAUGCUGAGAAGCAAACACUUUAAGAGGAAGUCAGGCUGACUUGUGAUGAAAGAUGAUGGAGACAAAUCCUAAACAGGGCUUCCUGUUUGUUUAAACCUCCAACCCAAGAGAAAAUCACUUCCAGUUUCCCUGGUACAAUCAUGGUAAUAUAUUUUCUUUUUAGAUUGUUAGCAGACUGUUUCGCUUGUACUUGGCAUUUCAAUCAUAGUGAAAGAGGUGAAACCCAAAAGACUCAGUGAAUUCUCGUUAUAAAUCUAAAAUCAGAUGGCCUUAACAAUUAACCUCUGCUUCUUGUCCCUUUCUCAUUCCUAACAUAUUAGUCAUUAAUUCAUAUGUAUUGAUUAUCUGCUCUGUGGACAGGUUUGAAAUAGCUACUAAGAUGUAUAUAAAAGAAGCUAAAGCUUCUGUCCUCAGAGCUCAUGCUUACAAAAAUAAUCAUGUUGGAAUAUAGAUAUAAAUUUAAAUUUAAAGGUGGUAACUCCUCUGAAAGAAUGAUUAGAUUAUUCUCCUUGUAAGAUGAGUGCUUGUGCAAAGUGAGAUUUUUAAUUUUGUAAAUGAUCUUUUGAAAACAAAACAGUAGGAAAGAAAAGAAGUUGGGGAAGAGUAUAAACAUAUUUUGGAGGAAGACUUAGUUGUUUUUCUUAUUAUCCUGGGACAUCCAAAUCACAUUUAGGCAGGGGAUUAAAAAAUAGGAAAUUGACCUCAGCAUUAUUUCUACAGGAAAAAAUUUAUUUAAAGUUAGCUAAAGAUCAUUAUUAUAUCUUAGGAACAUAUUUGACUGUUACUAAUUUUUUCUAAUAUUCUUUACAUUAUAAACUUUAUUAUCAGUAUUAAACAUUUUUUUUAAAAAGGGAGGAAUGGCAAGAUUUGACACCUAGAACAAUUGAUUAUUAGAAGAUGAAAUCAUGCUAAAAUAGUAAUGUAAGUUCUGUGAAUAAUACAAAUGGUCAUGAUACUUUUAAUGUGAAUUACCCUAACUCAUGCUAAUUGCUGGGCUUUCCUGGUGCCUUAGACGGUAAAGAAUCCACCUGCAAUGCAG